ACCAAGGCCUUGCGCGGCCCAACGCACAAGGGGGGACGGCGCGCCCUGCUGCGGGCCCUCGCCCUGGCCCCGGUGCCACCAGUUUCCCUUGGCCGGGAUUCUUUGUGGCCUAGGCAGGCAGGCGCCCGUGCUGUCUCCACUCUGACCUAGGCACCCACCCACAUGAGGCGUCGGGAGGUGUGGGGCCGGGAGAACAUUGCUCUGCCUGGUUUCCUAGGCGGAGGCAGGUGUGUUGUCGGCAGAGACCCUCACUCAGGCCAAGUGCGUGAUGUCUCUUCUUCUUCCGCAGACGCCGAGCCCGGCACCCGGGAACCUGUUCCGGACGUGCCGCUCCCAACCAUGACUCCCAGCACCGAGGAGGCUGACCACGACCACGACCCCGAGCACGACCACGACCACGACCACGACCACGACCACGACGCCGAGCCCGGCACCCGGGAACCUGUUCCGGACGUGCCGCUCCCAACCAUGACUCCCAGCACCGAGGCUGACCACGACCAUGACCACGACCACGACGCCGAGCCCGGCACCCGGGAACCUGUUCC
Molecule: long non-coding RNA, 545 nt
Filed under: Oryctolagus cuniculus (rabbit)
Lineage: Eukaryota; Metazoa; Chordata; Mammalia; Lagomorpha; Leporidae
Description: lncRNA (ENSOCUG00000034351.1)
Source: RNAcentral